CAAACAUCUGUUGUCAGGCUGCGCCAAGCAUCUACAAAGUGAAACAGUCUGCCCCACACAUACACGGGGAAGGGGAUGAUGGAAUACUCACCAUAAAGCCUUCGGCCAUACGAGGCGCCCCUGGUCCUUCGAGACUGCAACGAUCUGCCCCUGACCGGGAAGAAGGGCGAAGGGGACUUGUUCUCUGGAGGCUGGAAUCUAG
Molecule: non-coding RNA, 202 nt
Organism: Pelobates cultripes (western spadefoot toad)
Lineage: Eukaryota; Metazoa; Chordata; Amphibia; Anura; Pelobatidae
Source: the annotation of a GenBank genome assembly